GGCGCUAGGCUGCGCCGAGACUGAAAAUCGCAGUGUCGGUGGUUCGAUCCCGCCCCCGGGCACCA
This 65-nucleotide transfer RNA is filed under the name Candidatus Phaeomarinibacter ectocarpi. RNAcentral's name for it is "tRNA-Phe (GAA) (tRNA-Phe-GAA-2-1)". The record is from RNAcentral. Lineage: Bacteria; Pseudomonadati; Pseudomonadota; Alphaproteobacteria; Hyphomicrobiales; Parvibaculaceae.